CUGCGAGUGAAGCGGCAAAAGCUCAAAUUUGAAAUCUGGCGUCCUUCGGGCGUCCGAGUUGUAAUUUGGAGGAGCGUCUUCGGGGGCGGGCACCGUCCUAAGUUCCGUGGAACCGGACGUCACAGAGGGUGAGAAUCCCGUGCCUGGGCGGCUGUCCGUUCCCAUGUGAAGUGCUUCCGACGAGUCGAGUUGUUUGGGAAUGCAGCUCAAAAUGGGUGGUAAAUUUCAUCUAAAGCUAAAUAUUGGCGAGAGACCGAUAGCGCACAAGUAGAGUGAUCGAAAGAUGAAAAGCACUUUGAAAAGAGAGUUAAAAAGUACGUGAAAUUGUUGAAAGGGAAGCGCUUGAGAUCAAACUCGGUCUUUGGUGAAGUUGCGAGUUCGCUCGUAGCCUCUCGCCAUUGACCGGGCCAGCAUCGGUUUUGACGGCGGGAGAAACGGUGGGGGAAUGUGGCUCCCUUCGGGGAGUGUUAUAGCCUCUGCCAAAUGCCGCCAGUUGGGACCGAGGACCGCGCUUCGGCUAGGAUGCUGGCGUAAUGGUCUUAAGCGACCCGUCUUGAAACACGGACCAAGGAGUCUAACAUCUAUGCGAGUGUUCGGGUGGAAAACCCUUGCGCGUAAUGAAAGUGAAUGGAGGUGGGAACCGCAAGGUGCACCAUCGACCGAUCCCGAUGUUUUCGGAAGGAUUUGAGUAUGAGCAUAGCUGUUGGGACCCGAAAGAUGGUGAACUAUGCCUGAAUAGGGUGAAGCCAGAGGAAACUCUGGUGGAGGCUCGCAGCGGUUCUGACGUGCAAAUCGAUCGUCAAAUUUGGGUAUAGGGGCGAAAGACUAAUCGAACCAUCUAGUA
Molecule: ribosomal RNA, 844 nt
Filed under: Octospora sp.
Lineage: Eukaryota; Fungi; Ascomycota; Pezizomycetes; Pezizales; Pyronemataceae
Description: partial large subunit ribosomal RNA
Rfam family: Eukaryotic large subunit ribosomal RNA
Source: RNAcentral